This 393-nucleotide unclassified non-coding RNA is filed under the name Xenorhabdus szentirmaii DSM 16338. The record is from RNAcentral. Lineage: Bacteria; Pseudomonadati; Pseudomonadota; Gammaproteobacteria; Enterobacterales; Morganellaceae.
GUAAUAUUAUUUACAAUAUAUAUCAAUAAGAUGAGUGAAUUUAUUGAUUCGCCCUAUUUAUCAAAUCAUCACAAUGCUGAAUGGGUUACUUGUUUCGAGGGAGUGAAUAGUAGAUCCUUUAUACCGUUCCUCAGGGAAUUACAGCAAAACAAUAACCAGGGAAUAAAUCCACCGGGAAGGUGGUUCAGGGACGGUAAGGUCAGGCAGGGUGCCGUAUACAAUCAUCGCCAGAUACUAUCAGUAUAAGAAUUGAGCAGUACAACGAUUGAAUGAAGGAUAGCUGACAGGGAAGUAUUUUUGUCAGGGAAUGAGCAGGGAGCGACCUAUUUAGCAGGAUUGCUAUGACAGCCAACCGGAGAGGGGAGAUUUUAUAUCUCUCCUCUUUUUUUUACU